Molecule: ribosomal RNA, 256 nt
Filed under: uncultured bacterium
Lineage: Bacteria
Description: partial 16S ribosomal RNA
Rfam family: Bacterial small subunit ribosomal RNA
Source: RNAcentral
UAAAACGUAGGAGGCUAGCGUUAUCCGGAUUUAUUGGGCGUAAAGCGCGUGCAGGCGGUCUAUCAAGUUGGAUGUGAAAGCUCCUGGCUUAACUGGGAGAGGUCGUUCAAAACUGAUAGACUAGAGAAUGGUAGAGGGAGGUGGAAUUCCGGGUGUAGUGGUGAAAUGCGUAGAUAUCCGGAGGAACACCAGUGGCGAAAGCGGCCUCCUGGGCCAUUUCUGACGCUAAGACGCGAAAGCUAGGGUAGCAAACGGG